GCCCAACAUAGUCACUGAGUUAUAACCAGACAAGGAACCAGAAGGCCCAACAUAGUCACUGAGUUAUAACCAGACAGGGAACCAGAAGGCCCAACAUAGUUACUGAGUUAUAACCAGACAAGGAACCAGAAGGCCCAACAUAGUCACUGAGUUAUAACCAGAAAAGGAACCAGAAGUCACUGGGUUAUAGCCAGCCAGACAGGGAACCAGAAGUCCCAUCCUAGUCUUGUGGAACCAGACAGGUGUGUCUAAAUAAAUCUGGCUGUGCAAGUUAACGCCAGACUAAUAUUUGUUUUCUAAAUAAUUAUCAUAACGCAAGUUAUUUUUCUUGGGGUUGAUUGAGCUUUAUUUAAACAGGAGAAUUAUGAAUGAUUCAUUUCUGGGAGAAAUAGUGUGGUUAGGUUGAAGUCUGUCAGGCGAGGCUUGGGCUUGUUGCUUUGGAGACCCAUCAAACCACCUCUGCUGCUCCUCGCACAGCGAUUGUUGAACAACCAACACAUUGGAUGCAUCCAAAAUGGCACCGUUUUUCCUAUAUAGUGCACUAUGUUUAACACGGACCUGACGGUCAACAGUAAUGCAUUAAAUAGGGAAUAGGGCUUCAUUUCAGAUGCAGCCGUUGUCAUUCUCCAAGGGACUGUUGCUGCUGUCAUCGUGGCAAUAGGCUGAUCCCCUCACAACUUACAGUCCUAUCUUAUCUAUCUCUGUAUAUAUGUACUGUAUGUAUGUAUUAUAAAUUAAUAUUAACCAGGAGAACUCUCUGGAAGAUGUUGAAACCACUAGAGGUGUUCAGGGGUGGGUUUGAAAAUGUACCAUCUCUGUGAGAGCCUAUUGGUCGAUUUUACCUUGGGAAAAGCUGAGGUCAUUAAUGAUUCAAGCUUUCUAUCAGAGACUACCCUCAACUUUCAGACAGUUUUAAUCAGUUUCUAGAAGAGAAACGGAAUUGAAUAUUACACUCUUAGAAAAAAGGGUUCCAAAAGGCUUAUUUGGCUGUGCCCAUAGGAGAACCCUUUUGGGUUCCAAGUAGAACCCUUUUUGGUUCCAUUUUGAAUCCAGGUAGAACCGUUUUGGCAACCCAAAAAGUUUCUACCUGGAACCAAAAAGGGUACUUCAAAGGGUUAUCCUAUGGGGACAGCUGAAGAACCUUUUUCGGUUCUAUAUAGCACCUUUUGUGUAGAUGGGCCAACCUAUGGGACCUCAUGUAGAUAAUAUUACCAGAACGUACUGACUGGAAAGCCUUGGAACUGUUCUAUGUUAUAGAAUGAAUCUAUAAUAUAGAUAGAAUGGUUCUCCACUACAACAAAUGCAAACUAUUAUUCCAGGACCCAUUGUCCAACCUUUGAGCGCAGUUCUUGUUUUAACCACAGCAGGUCCCUCUUCCUCUGUAAAAGACACAACUUAUCCUUAUACAUUCUGGUAGAGCACUGAACGGAGUUUUAACCAGAUGCUUUUAAUGGCAAAUGAUUUUAAACGAUAGGAGAUGAUGAAAUAUGUACGGUGCUGUUAUUAACUUAGAUAAACGAAUGACCUUUUACUGUCAUACGAUCAAAAGUCUUAAACUUCUGGAGAAGAAACCACCAGUUCAAAACGUUCAUCGGAUUAAAUACUAUAUUUUUCAUAAAUGUAUAUUUUUCAGUCAGACCACCUCGACAUAAACUCUGGUUGGUUUCAUAUGUUUUAAAAGCAUAUCAAAUAUUGUCUGUCUAUAAAGUUGGAAUGUAUUCAAUGUACUGUAUAGGCUACAGUGAUCUCCUAUGUAUGUUAUUGACAACUCUGAUCUUCUAAAUGACAAACGCUGUGGAAUUUGGUACAGUAUAUUAUCAUUGUCAAUAAUAACAACUCCACCUGAAA
Oncorhynchus tshawytscha (Chinook salmon) is the source of this 1848-nucleotide long non-coding RNA. The record is from Ensembl. NCBI's taxonomy places the organism in Eukaryota, Metazoa, Chordata, Actinopteri, Salmoniformes, Salmonidae.